RNAcentral lists this ribosomal RNA (447 nucleotides) under uncultured bacterium. RNAcentral's name for it is "partial 16S ribosomal RNA". It matches the Rfam family "Bacterial small subunit ribosomal RNA", at positions 29 to 523 of the family's 1533-position model. The record is from RNAcentral.
AACGAACGCUGGCGGCAGGCUUAACACAUGCAAGUCGAACGCCCCGCAAGGGGAGUGGCAGACGGGUGAGUAACGCGUGGGAAUCUACCCAGCUCUACGGAAUAACUCAGGGAAACUUGUGCUAAUACCGUAUACGUCCGAGAGGAGAAAGAUUUAUCGGAGUUGGAUGAGCCCGCGUUGGAUUAGCUAGUUGGUAGGGUAAUGGCCUACCAAGGCGACGAUCCAUAGCUGGUCUGAGAGGAUGAUCAGCCACACUGGGACUGAGACACGGCCCAGACUCCUACGGGAGGCAGCAGUGGGGAAUAUUGGACAAUGGGCGAAAGCCUGAUCCAGCCAUGCCGCGUGAGUGAUGAAGGCCCUAGGGUUGUAAAGCUCUUUCACCGGUGAAGAUAAUGACGGUAACCGGAGAAGAAGCCCCGGCUAACUUCGUGCCAGCAGCCGCCGUAA